This 1420-nucleotide long non-coding RNA is filed under the name Sus scrofa (pig). Its description in RNAcentral is "lncRNA (ENSSSCG00055001708.1)". The record is from RNAcentral. Lineage: Eukaryota; Metazoa; Chordata; Mammalia; Artiodactyla; Suidae.
GGAGCACUCGCUGGAGGUUGAAAAGACGCCGGGAGCAGAGUGGCACUUCCGUGAACGGUGCUCAGCCAACCCGCUAGAUAGACGGUGACGGUGGAGGAGAAACUGAACAUCAGUAAGGGGCGCCCAAGAGGCUGAUGUGUGUUCAGGCUGUCUACACCAGGGGAAGCCAGCUUGUGAAGCAGCCCUGUGAAGAGAUGGCUAUGCCAAGAGACCAAACCCUGCCAACCACCACAUGUGUGAACUUGGAAGUGGAUCCAUGACCCUGAGCCCCCCCAAGUCAACCUUCAGAUGAGACCCCAAUCUUGACUGAGAGGUUGACUGCAACCUCCUGAGAGACUUGGAUCCAGAGGCUCCCAACUAAGCACCCCCGGAUUCCUAACACACUGAGACCGUGAGAUAAUAAAUCCACACUUGUGGUAACCUUAGAAUUCAAGAGAUGGUCAUUGUCCCAAAUCUGUGGUUUCGUACUUGGCCUGACAAUGGUGGAGGAGACUGACAUCAGCAGAUGGUGUGGACCUGUCCAGCCCGGUUGAUUCCGGCAUCCAUGGGGGAUACUUGUCUAUGACGGAUGCUUGCCUAUGGGGGACAAGUGCCUUGCUGCCUGUCCCUCUCUCCCUCCCUGCCUUACAAACAGUGAUGGAUUCUGAUUCCAGGAGUUGUUCUAGAGCCUGUGGACCCUGGAGUUGAACUAGAACAGACAAGGUUCCUGCUCUUCAGGGACGUUCAAAUGUGAUGCCUAUUUACAUGCGGUGAUUACUACUCCUACUUUUCAAAUGAAGAUAGCUGAGACAGAGAGGUUAAGUAACUUGCCAAGAACUGCACAGCUCCAAAAUGGUGGAAGAAAAAAAUCAACUCAAGGAUCCUGGGACUCUCACGCCUCAACCUUCUGAGCAACCAGAGGCUGCAUCAUUUCCCGUUUUCUAGCCCCUUUGAUAAAGUGGCAACCCCACACCCUCCUCACCUAAUUACCUUAGUCUUGGGAUUGGUCCUGACUCCUCCACGUUCCCACAGUGGAACUGCAGCUGGACUUUCACCUUUCGGAGUCCUGAAGCCUGUACCUCAUAAAUCGAGGCUCUGAUAGUCUAACAGCUUCAUUAAUAAACUCUUGCAGGAUGAGAUGUUAAAAGCACACUUCUAAUAGGUUUAUAGCUUUCUGCUUGGGGUUACCGUCUGGGGGAGGUGUUCUAUAUUUUUAAUCUCUUCUGUGCCUUUGCUCAGAUUGCUGUUCUGUAAAGGAUCUUGGCUAGCUGGAGUAGAUUUAGUUCGUUUGGCUGGGACACUUUCUUAAUAGUAUAGAGAUAACCAAUUGUAUAGUUUAUGUUGGAAUUGAGGAUUUUGCCUCCCUCAAGAAUAUUAUAAUCUUAACUUAUUGUUUGAGGCUCCAUUGCUUUUGGAUAAAUACAAAAAUGUGUUUUCUCUU